GCAAUAGCCAAGGGAAUGAGUUGGAACAGGCAAAAGGGGCCCUGCAUUCUCCUCCACCACGAAAGAUCUUGGUCCUUCAGGGGCAAGCCAGCAUGAGGGAUGAAUGAAUACACAAGGGAGCAAGAACAGGGCUGGUGUUCAAGCCAGAAGGAAUUGGUCACAAAGAAAGGAUUGACAUUAACACUAAUGGGAAGGAGAUACUGCCAUGGUUUGCCCAAAAAUGAGACAGAACAUUUUCUGUCCUCCUGA
Molecule: long non-coding RNA, 249 nt
Organism: Hirundo rustica (Barn swallow)
Lineage: Eukaryota; Metazoa; Chordata; Aves; Passeriformes; Hirundinidae
Exons: 3
Source: RefSeq, a predicted model, not a curated record